ACGGCGAGUGAAGCGGCAACAGCUCAAAUUUGAAAUCUGGCCUUCUUUGGGGGUCCGAGUUGUAAUUUGCAGAGGGCGCUUUGGCGUCGGCAGCGGUCUAAGUUCCUUGGAACAGGACGUCACAGAGGGUGAGAAUCCCGUACGUGGUCGCCUGCCUUCGCCGUGUAAAGCCCCUUCGACGAGUCGAGUUGUUUGGGAAUGCAGCUCUAAAUGGGAGGUAAAUUUCUUCUAAAGCUAAAUACUGGCCAGAGACCGAUAGCGCACAAGUAGAGUGAUCGAAAGAUGAAAAGCACUUUGGAAAGAGAGUCAAACAGCACGUGAAAUUGUUGAAAGGGAAGCGCUUGCCGCCAGACUUGCCCGUGAAGGUUCUCCUCCUCGGGCAGGCCAGCAUCAGUUUGAGCGAUCGGAUAAUGGCCUCUGUCAUGUAUCUUCCUUCGGGAUGACCUUAUAGGGGAGUCGUAGUACGGUCAGCUCGGACUGAGGUCCGCGCAUUUGCUAGGAUGCUGGCGUAAUGGCUGCAAGCGGCCCGUCUUGAAACACGGACCAAGGAGUCUAACAUCUAUGCGAGUGUUUGGGUGUCAAGCCCGAGCGCGCAAUGAAAGUGAACGGAGGUGGGAACCCUCUCUGGGGGUGCACCAUCGACCGAUCCUGAAGUCUUCGGAUGGAUUUGAGUAAGAGCAUGGCUGUUGGGACCCGAAAGAUGGUGAACUAUGCUUGAAUAGGGUGAAGCCAGAGGAAACUCUGGUGGAGGCUCGCAGCGGUUCUGACGUGCAAAUCGAUCGUCAAAUUUGGGCAUAGGGGCGAAAGACUAAUCGAACUAUCUAGUAGCUG
RNAcentral lists this ribosomal RNA (831 nucleotides) under Dictyocheirospora rotunda. Its description in RNAcentral is "partial large subunit ribosomal RNA". It matches the Rfam family "Eukaryotic large subunit ribosomal RNA", at positions 86 to 953 of the family's 3401-position model. The record is from RNAcentral. Lineage: Eukaryota; Fungi; Ascomycota; Dothideomycetes; Pleosporales; Dictyosporiaceae.